Molecule: long non-coding RNA, 457 nt
Organism: Columba livia (rock pigeon)
Lineage: Eukaryota; Metazoa; Chordata; Aves; Columbiformes; Columbidae
Exons: 4
Source: RefSeq, a predicted model, not a curated record
GGGACACGUUUGGAAUCAGCCCCUCAGGACAGGCCCUCGGACUGAUACCGGGCACCUCCCAGUGGCCCUUCUGGUGUGCUGGGUAUCUGCCAGUUUUCUGAGCUUGUAGACUCACUAGCGACGUACACCAAAUGAAGAGCAUCUUCAGGUUCUGCCUUCUCCCUGUCCAGCCCACCAAACCCAGGCUGUCCGUGAGAGGUGAGGACGCACAAAUGCUGUAGGACUGAGACAAAAAUGUUUUGUGCACGGAUGGAAAGCUGAAGAAGAGAUAAAUGAGUUAAUGGAAUUCUUGGAAGCAUUCAGACCAAAUGCUGCAGGACUAUGAUCUAUAAAUAUUAAGCGGCGAAAGCUUCCCAGAACUUCUCCUGCAAGGACCUGCUGAUGGAGAUUUUGUGAAGAGGCUUCAGAGAGGAGCAGUGGCAGCAGCGUGACCCCACAGGUGCCAGCUCAGCCGUUG